Molecule: long non-coding RNA, 260 nt
Filed under: Setaria viridis
Lineage: Eukaryota; Viridiplantae; Streptophyta; Magnoliopsida; Poales; Poaceae
Description: long non-coding RNA (SVIR_LNC010655)
Source: RNAcentral
GAGUUUCGAGCAUGGACAUUGAAGUUGGUAAUGCCCCUUCUCUGACGCACAGUGUUUCCUCCAUAGGCAACCUGGAUGACUUUUAGAUUGAGGCUGUAGUAAGUUGGUCUUUUGUUGUACUACUCGGCAACCUAUAAUUUUGGAUGGUGAUUACAGGUUAGCCUAGAGUUGAGUACUUCUCCUAUGUUAAGAGACUGGUAAUGAAAUGAUCUUGGUGAAAUCAGUUUCUGUUUCCCACCUCGCUCUUGACUCCACUUCUG